GACCAGGAGAGAGAGGUAAGUGCUUCAUUGUUAAUGAAAAUGGAUUACUUCUCCUAUUUUUCACAGUGGAACUGUAUGUCAUCCCAUUGCAUUACAUGAGUUCGAUUAAGACAUUUAUAAGCCAAAAACAUGGAACUUUUAGCUAGAAGCAUGAUUUUAGAGUAUCGCACCAAAUUAAGAGAUCUUACACCCUUGCUUGCAUGUGGUUCUUGAUGCUUCUGACAUAAUCUUGAAUCAAGAACCUUUGAUGCUAUCAUAUUUCAUUGUUUGCUUCAACUAAAGCUAUAGUAUGUGUUAUUACCAAUUUUAAAAUAUUAUCAUAUAAUGUAACCAGUAACCACUUCCGAGUUUCUAUUACCAAAUUCUAACCGCAGGUUUGACAUUGAUGCCUAUCUCGUCAACUGUUGCCCCGAAGCACACAGGACAUUGGAAGGUUGAUGUCCCUGCCAUCCCUCGAACCAAGCAUUUUGAAAAGUCGCAUUCAUAAAAAAGAAUCAAGAGCUACUUUAGAAGCUAUGUUAUAAGCUAAUGAAGAUAAACAACACUUAGAAUAAGCAAAAGUCUUUAUGCAAUAAAAUUUGAUAAUAUGUAUGACUGUAUAUGUAUAUACGCACAAACACACACUUCUGCAUUUAAUAGACAUUUAAUGGUUAAUUUUUGAGAAGAUGCUAUCUUUCUUCGUGCUUUACACUUUGAAUGCAUGAACACCUUGUUUAACAUCUAUUUCUGGUGUACAUGAUUUAUAGCAACAAAAUUUUGUAUCUGAUUUGAAACCUUCUCAUCCAUUCACUGAUUGGUGAAUUAGUUAAUUUUAAUGCUAACUAGUUUCUGUCCCUCAUAAUCUCCAGCAACUUAAUUGUGUUCAGUGUCUCAUAAACAAAAAAAAAUGUGUUCAGUGUCUUAAUUUCUAGCACCUAAUGAAUUCUUGGUGAAUAUAAAGUUUCAUAUUCUGCUGUAUGAUUAUCACAGGAAGAAUCCUAUCGUAGCUUCAAGGCAGCUGAGUUGGAUUUGAUGUAAACUGUAGGAAGGAUUCUGAACAUGAUUUGUUAAUGCCCUUUCAGAUUAUUUCCGGCAAUCAUUGUCCCAUCAAUUUGGGGACAACUGGUCAUUCUUAAU
RNAcentral lists this long non-coding RNA (1116 nucleotides) under Phoenix dactylifera (date palm). Its description in RNAcentral is "long non-coding RNA (PDAC_LNC014256)". Lineage: Eukaryota; Viridiplantae; Streptophyta; Magnoliopsida; Arecales; Arecaceae. The record is from RNAcentral.